CCUGCGGAGGGAUCAUUACACAAUACAAUAUGAAGGCCGUACGCGGCUGGAUUAUUUUAUUACCCUUGUCUUUUGCGCACUUGUUGUUUCCUGGGCGGGUUCGCCCGCCACCAGGACCACACCAUAAACCUUUUUUAUGCAGUUGCAAUCAGCGUCAGUACAACAAAUGUAAAUCAUUUACAACUUUCAACAACGGAUCUCUUGGUUCUGGCAUCGAUGAAGAACGCAGCGAAAUGCGAUACGUAGUGUGAAUUGCAGAAUUCAGUGAAUCAUCGAAUCUUUGAACGCACAUUGCGCCCUUUGGUAUUCCAAAGGGCAUGCCUGUUCGAGCGUCAUUUGUACCCUCAAGCUUUGCUUGGUGUUGGGCGUUUUUUGUCUUUGGUUGCCAAAGACUCGCCUUAAAACGAUUGGCAGCCGGCCUCCUGGUUUCGCAGCGCAGCACAUUUUUGCGCUUGCAAUCAGCAACAGAGGGCGGCACUCCAUCAAGACUCCAUUUUCACGUUUGACCUCGGAUCAGGUAGGGAUACCCGCUGAACUUAAGCAUAUCAAA
Molecule: ribosomal RNA, 550 nt
Filed under: Curvularia inaequalis
Lineage: Eukaryota; Fungi; Ascomycota; Dothideomycetes; Pleosporales; Pleosporaceae
Description: eukaryotic LSU rRNA
Rfam family: 5.8S ribosomal RNA (bases 182-335)
Source: RNAcentral